AUUUAACCUCAAAUCAGGUAAGAAUACCCGCUGAACUUAAGCAUAUCAAUAAGCGGAGGAAAAGAAAAUAACAAUGAUUCCCUUAGUAACUGCGAGUGAAGAGGGACAAGCUCAAAUUUUAAAUCUGUUAGGUUCAUCUAACCGAGUUGUAAUUUGAAGAGGCGUUUUCUGCGUUUUUGAUCAGUCCAAGUCCUUUGGAAUAAGGCAUCAUGGAGGGUGAGAAUCCCGUUCGGUUGAUCAAAUUUGCUUUAUGAUACGUCAUCUAAGAGUCAAGUUGUUUGGGAUUGCAGCUUAAAAUGGGAGGUAAAUUUCUCCUAAGGCUAAAUAACGGCGAGAGACCGAUAGCGAACAAGUACCGUGAGGGAAAGAUGAAAAGAACUUUGAAAAGAGAGUUAAACAGUACGUGAAAUUGUUGAAAGGGAAACGAUUGAAGCCAGUCGUACCUUCGGGUAAUCAGCCUUUCGGGUGCGAUUCUGUGGAGCGUGGGGAGUUAAACGCCUUCAUGCCUGCAUAUUCGUGCACUUUGGGUGUACUUGCCCGUGUGGUAGGUUAACAUCAAUUUCGGAUGUCAUAAAAUGGCUGGAGGAAUGUAGCUUCGGUCUCGUACUGAAGUGUUAUAGCCUUUGGUAGAUGUGAUGACCGGGAUUGAGGAUUGCAACGAAUACCUUUUGGGCUAUCCGUCUGAUCUCUGAAAGUUGCUCUGGUGCCGAAAGCUUGCUUACGGUUAUCAAAGUUGACGUUCAAAAGGUUAGAACGGGUUAAAUUCGUUAAGGAUGUUGACGUAAUGGCUUUAAACGACCCGUCUUGAAACACGGACCAAGGAGUCUAACAUAUAUGCGAGUGUUA
RNAcentral lists this ribosomal RNA (846 nucleotides) under Rhizophagus intraradices. RNAcentral describes it as "eukaryotic LSU rRNA". It matches the Rfam family "Eukaryotic large subunit ribosomal RNA", at positions 1 to 695 of the family's 3401-position model. The record is from RNAcentral. Lineage: Eukaryota; Fungi; Glomeromycota; Glomeromycetes; Glomerales; Glomeraceae.